Molecule: long non-coding RNA, 5787 nt
Organism: Alexandromys fortis (reed vole)
Lineage: Eukaryota; Metazoa; Chordata; Mammalia; Rodentia; Cricetidae
Exons: 3
Source: RefSeq, a predicted model, not a curated record
AUGAGCUUUUGUUAGGAUCAGGAACAUCUCAGCAGGGCACUGUCUGAAUAGCAGAACUUCCCAGAAGUGUGGCUUCCAAGAAGUCUUGCCUGACUUUGGACCUGGGGGCAGGUGCUCAUGCCUUGUGGGGUGCUGGUCUCCGUCUCUUUUAGCUUGCUGGCUGGCAUAAGCUGAACACUGCUUUGAGCAAUACCCCCACCCUCAUGUGCUGCUCACCUUAGACCAAAAGCAACAGGGCCACGCAGCAGCAGACUGACCCUGCCAAGACUGUGAGCCAAAACAACCCUUGUCUCUUUAUACGUUUGUUUAUUUAUCUGAGGUAUUUGCUACAGUUCAAGAAAGCUGACCGACCCAACCUAUUCCUGUGUAAAAGAUAAAAGAGAAUAACAUAGUAUCUGUCUCUGUCUAGAAAAUCCUCAUUAGCGGGAUAAAUGAGAAAACAACAGCAUGUUACCUGUGAGGGGUGGGAGGACAGGCCAGAAGGGUUAGGGGAUGAGGGAAAUUUUCAGGAGACACCUUUUUGUAUGGCUUUGACUCUCUGGAAGCGUGCUAAUGCACUCUGUUCAGAGGUCAGGGACUCUUUAUAGUAAGGCAAACAAGAGCCCAUAAAUCAUGAUACCAGUGACUGACACUUGGUUCCAGUGUCCCCUCCACACUGUCUCUUGGGGUUCUUAAGCGUAGGUCCCACAAGACCAUGCUCCUGCCUCUGUUGGGCUCUGCAAAGGUGACACAGGACAGGAAAGCUGCAAGGCUGGAGGAGGGAGGGAGGGAGGCUCUUCCUUCCCAUUUGCCCGUCUAAUUGAGUCUCACUCCAACGAUGCCUCUUCAGGCUGGCAGUCUCAGUUCUUUCCCUCAGCCACGGUGGAACACUCCUUACAGUGGACAGCCAGUCCUGUCACACCACUGCAAGCGCCACAGCUCCAGUCAGCUGGCACUCCUCCCCAGAGCUGGAUCUCAGGGUUGCCAGCUCCAUAGGUCCCUUCCUCAGGUUGUUACAUUGUAAUCAUCCGAACCUCCUCCUCUUAUUCCCUCAGUAGUUGGAGUGCUAGCUCUUCCUCAUGCUGCUGUCACAAGACCUCGGGACAGCAGAGCCCAGGCCUCGGGACAGCAGAGCCCAGGCCUCGGGACAGCAGAGCCCAGGCCUCGGGACAGCAGAGCCCAGGCCUCGGGACAGCAGAGUUCAGGCCUCCGGUCAGCAGAGCCCAGGCCUCCGGACAGCAGAGUUCAGGCUGACUCGGGUCAGCAGAGUCCAGGCCUUGGGUCACCAGAGUCCAGGCCUCGGGACAGCAGAGUCCAGGCCUCGGGACAGCAGAGUUCAGGACAGCAGAGAGUUCAGGCACACCUUUCCUCGCUGUGACAAAAUGCUGGACACAAACGACUUAAAGGGAGGAACUGCUUAUCUGAGCUCAAGGUUUCCAAGGUGUCAGUCCACCUUAGCAAGGAAGGUGCAGCAGGACAUGUCAGCUCAUAUCAUGGAAGCAGAGAGGGAGACAGAAAGGGACAGACAGACAGAGAGCACCUGCGUUUGCUGUGGGAGAAUGCUCUUGGACACUGCAAAGAUUUGUCACUCGUAUUAGUUUAAUAAAACGCUGACUGGCCAGUAGUUAAGCAUAAAGUAUAGGCAGAGUGACCAGACUAAGAGAAUUCUGGGAAGAGGAAAGGCAGAGACACAACCACUACCCAGAUGCAGGGAAAGUGAAAUGAGAAUGCCUCACUGAUAAAAGGUGCCAAGCCACAUGGCUAAAUAUAGACAAGAAUUAUGGUCUCUCUCACUUGCCUCGAUUCUUCCUCCUACUACCUCUCUCUGCGCGGAAGUCCCACCUACACUUCCUGCCUAGCUAAUAUCCUAACUAUUGGCCCUUCAUCUUUUCAUUACACAAUCACAGCAAUAGACCUUCACACAGUUUAACAAACGUGAUUCUUAAUAAUGUGUCAAAAUUCAGAAGAAGGCAUUAUGGAGUCAAUGAUAUCUUCUCAUGACUCAUGCAUGAGAUUACAAAAUAACACGGAAGUAAAGAUUAGCUGAAAGUUAAAGAGAGGUUGAGAGCCCUUGAUGUCAGAGAUAUUUUAAAAUCUUUUUUCAGACACGGUUUUAGAUUCCACAUAAAGAUUAGUCUUAAGAAUAAACUUACCGCAUGAUCUGUUCUCAUGUGGUAUCAAAAGGUAACACAUAAAUACUAAGAAAGCCUAUAAAACUGUUUCUCCAUUUUCCUGUGUGUGUGUGUAUGGUGUAUACAUGUGUGUACAUCUCUGUGAGCAAAGACCAGAAGACAGCACAUUUCUUCCUUUAUUGUUCUACAGUUUAAUCCCCUUAAGUGGAGUCCUCACUGAACCUGAAACUCUGCAUUUAUGCUGGCAGCUCCCCAGUAGCCACUGUCUCCACCCUGAACUCCUGGGAUGACGGGCACAUCUGUCCUUUUACGUGGGUACUGGAACUAGAACCCAGGUCUUUGUGCUUGUAUGGCGAGCAAUCUUACACAGUGAACUGUCUCCCCAGCCCCUAUUCGUCCCUUUCCUAACUAUAGACCUGGGUGAGACUAGUGUGAGGGCUAACGUUUCAGGUUUAAAUCACUGUAAACGAAAUGCCUCGAACCUGUAAACCCCACUUGGCUAAGGACGGGUAAGAUCAUAAGCCGUGUGUUUUCAUUUCUAUAAACAAGGUUGGCUGUCAUAACCGCACAGAAUGUACUUGAUCACACACGGCGGGAGAUAUGUGUGUCAGGAUGUAUGCUCGCCCCGACUGGACAAAAGCCAGGAAGUAUGGAGCCUUGCGGAUUUGCCUUCAUAAGCAUCUGACUAAUUCUGGCCAUUCUCUGGGAAUCCUGAGAAUGAACCUGGCCAGUGUCCAUCAUCCUGGCCAGUAUUUAAUAAAGCUUGCUUCAAAUUUGGUUCAAAAGUUGUAGCAGUCUCAGUCCCACCCAGUGGGAUCAACACAGUUUUCCUUCAUAACUUAUCAAAAUGGCAUGACCUGAUGCAGUGAAUACAAAAACAGAUGGGAUUAUUCAGCUGCUCUAUUAAGUCAGACAUUAAAGAGAUUUCCGAAACUAUCAAUGUCACUAUUCUCAUUAAAAUUUGUAUAUUGUUAUUCCUCAUCAAUUUAAACUGUGUUAUUAGUGCUGGGCAUGAGGGCGUACACCCUGUAACUCCUGCGCCUAGGAGGCUGAGGCUGGAGGAUCUCAAGUUUGAGGAAAGCCUGGGCUGCAUAGUGAUACAGUCCAAAACCAAGACUGUAACUGCAUUGACCUGCAAUGGGCUCGCUGCUGAUCUUAAAUGAAUUUUAAAAAUAAACACUGUGGAAAGUUCUCACUUUCUUUCUGAUGAUACAUGCUAACCACUUUUACCUGCGCAGACAUUCUAAGGGCCCCUCCGGGAGUCCGCACAAGUACGAAAGACUCCCGUAAGCAACAGGUUUAAGACACGAUACUCAAAGUCCCUUUCAAGCCGUCUUCAGCCCACUUAACUCAAUACCUUGUUUAACAGCUAUUUCUAUUCCUUCUGCUCAUAGGAACUUUUUUAGGGCUGGCGGAGUGGCUCAGAGGUUAAGAGCACUCGUUGCUCUUGCAGAGGAUACUGGUUUGACCCCAGCAUCCACAUAGUGACUCAUAACCAUCUGUAACUCCAGCUCCAGGAGACCUGAUACCCUCUUCUGACCUUUGGGGGCAUCAGACAUGCAAAUGGUGUACAUGCAUACACGCAGGCAAAACAUCCAUAUACAUAAAAUAAAUCUUUAAAAGAUCAGAACCUGAUUUUUAAAAGUAUAACUAUAUAAGUGCCCCCUAGAAGUGUUUUUGAUGCAGGUCUUGGAGACUUUCCCGUGAUCCUUCACACAGAUAGCCCGGUGCUCAGGAGAACGUUCCUGUCAAACCUUUGAGAAGUCUCCGUGCAGUUCCUGCCUGUGGUGUAUGCUGCCAGGCAAAUUCUAACCACCUCAGCCUCCUCUGCUGAGUUCUGCUUGUUUUUCCGUGCCUGAGCUCUGGUCUGGAAUUUGCUUCAAGGCAGAAAUCCGGGACCAGCUAGUCACUGGUUACCUCAUCUGUCCUUCUCCAGCCGGUUUCUGAACCUUUGAAAUCCGUGUCCCACCUUGCUCUGGUUUUCCAGACGCUUCCACGGAGGGCUGGCCCCGUGUCUGCUGGCUUUUGAUAACUGGAAUAAACUCUUUCAACCCUCCUGCUCUGCUUGAAACCAACGGGCCUGGAUUUCAGCCAUCCCAGGCCCUGUUGGACGGUGAGCCCCGCUCACCCUUAGCCUGGCAACAUGGGCCUUCUGAAGGUUCCAGAGCUCUGACCUCAAACUCCAGCACGAAAUGACACAUUGCCCUCCCCAUGCCUCCACAGAAUGAAAGGGAAGCAUUGUAUUUUUAACUAAAAAGCCCUGGAUUUCACGGGUUGGUAUAAAUUAACAUGGCGGGAGGGCGUACAUGAUACACCAAAAUGUUAACGAAGACAAUACAACCACAGAGUCCUUUUUUUUUCUGGACUUUCUAAAGUUUAAAUAAAUGAACAUGUGCUAUCUUUAGAAAACAGAACAAUGUCCCUUAUUUAUGGUCUCCUCCCACGGGGUGACAUUUCAUUGUGCCUUAGUACAAAUACAGGCCAGGGUGUGGCAGAUACGGGGCUCACCUGGGCGGUUGCCAGGGUCUGCCCUGGAUCCACGGCGCGGACCAUUGAAUUCUGGCAUCCUCCUUUCCCUAGCUCCCAGCAGAAGGUUAUUUGAAGAGCUCCCUUGUUUGUCAAGCAAAUGACUGUGGCCCAAGAAAACACGUCUUUCUCAGAAAAUUUUCCAGACCUUUCUGCUACAGCCAAGACUCCCUGAGGAGCCUGAGGGAAGGAGUCCUGAGGAAGUCGUGGUUUAUUUGUCGCCCGGGCUUAGGACCUAGCAGCCUUUGCUUCCCUGCUAGUCCAGGCGGAGACCUAAAGGAGGCCAGCCUUUCUGCUGUGGGCACACACCGCCGUUGCUCAACUCCUGCGUCCCCUUUAAAAAAAACGAAAACACACGGUUCCUCAGACUCCAGAGCAGGAACUCUGGAGACGUUAGCAUAUUCUGGCAAGGAGCCUGAUGGAUAAUAGAUAACAGGUUAUCCAGGAAAUAAUUAGAAGCCGGCGCCCACACGGAUCGGUGGCACACACUGACCCCUGUCGUUCAGGAUGUGGCCCCGAGAGUCAGAAGCCUUUCUUCUUUCGCUUUCAAGCGUCAGAAAAAUGUCAGGCCUUUCUGAGGUGACAAGCUAACAAGUGCUCAGUUUCCAAGAGGCACUUAAGACCCUCCUAAGCGGGUUCUCGGGAGUCUGGGGACCCAGCAGGUUCCUUCCCAUGAGCCCCUGGGCAGGACGGGUGGUGAAUCAGCUUAUCAGCCCGCUCCUACUGUGUUAGAGGCCUUUGCUCAGGGCCUCUCCACCCCUCCUGCUUCUUCCUGCCGCUUGUCUGCCCCUGAAGUGUCUGCUUUCACAGUCCACGCCUGGCUACUGAGCGGAGUGGCCCUGUCUCUUCUCCAGUUCAGAACAUCACCCCAGAACCCCACCACGCACUGUUUUGUUUGAUCUUGGGACUCAGAAGUAUCCGCGUAUGUUUAUAAAUGCAGUCUCGGUAUGCGUCCACUGCCGUAGAUAUAUUCUGAUGCUGGGCUGAUGGCCCUAGACGGCUUCCACCAUCUUCAUCUUUUUCUUUGCCAUCUUCGAGAGGCCUCUCAAAACACGUGAAGGACCCUGGAGGCCUCCCCAGCCCUUUGCUCGUUCAGUAGGGCACAGUUUGUAAAGUACAGGGCGUGGUCAAGAACUCAGGCUCAGAAACC